GCUUCAGUAGCUCAGUUGGUUAGAGCACCUGACUGUUAAUCAGGGGGUCGUUGGUUCAAGCCCAUCCUGAAGCGCCC
This 77-nucleotide transfer RNA is filed under the name Paraprevotella clara. RNAcentral's name for it is "tRNA-Asn". It matches the Rfam family "tRNA". Rfam says of the family: Transfer RNA (tRNA) molecules are approximately 80 nucleotides in length. Their secondary structure includes four short double-helical elements and three loops (D, anti-codon, and T loops). RNAcentral also lists the same sequence under 8 other names. The record is from RNAcentral. Lineage: Bacteria; Pseudomonadati; Bacteroidota; Bacteroidia; Bacteroidales; Prevotellaceae.